GCAGCAGCCCUGCGCACGGUGAGGGUGUGAACCCCGCCAGGUCCGGAAGGAAGCAACGGUAAGCACUCCGAGCCGGUGCCGCAGUAAGUUGUUGCCUG
RNAcentral lists this signal recognition particle RNA (98 nucleotides) under Nitrospirota bacterium. RNAcentral's name for it is "Nitrospirae bacterium (hydrothermal vent metagenome) signal recognition particle sRNA small type". It matches the Rfam family "Bacterial small signal recognition particle RNA". From Rfam's summary of the family: The signal recognition particle (SRP) is a universally conserved ribonucleoprotein involved in the co-translational targeting of proteins to membranes. Archaeal SRP consists of a 7S RNA and homologues of the eukaryotic SRP19 and SRP54 proteins. In most bacteria, the SRP consists of a 4.5S RNA and the Ffh protein (a homologue of the eukaryotic SRP54 protein). Lineage: Bacteria; Pseudomonadati; Nitrospirota. The record is from RNAcentral.